This 253-nucleotide ribosomal RNA is filed under the name uncultured bacterium. Its description in RNAcentral is "partial 16S ribosomal RNA". It matches the Rfam family "Bacterial small subunit ribosomal RNA", at positions 524 to 776 of the family's 1533-position model. The record is from RNAcentral.
UACAGAGGGGGCAAGCGUUAUUCGGAAUUAUUGGGCGUAAAGGGCGCGUAGGCGGCCUGGCAAGUGGAAGGUGAAAUCCCUCGGCUUAACCGAGGAACUGCCUCCCAAACUGCUUGGCUUGAGACCAGGAGAGGUGAGUGGAAUUCCCAGUGUAGCGGUGAAAUGCGUAGAUAUUGGGAGGAACACCAGUGGCGAAGGCGGCUCACUGGACUGGUACUGACGCUGAGGCGCGAAAGCGUGGGGAGCGAACAGG